This 385-nucleotide ribosomal RNA is filed under the name uncultured Gammaproteobacteria bacterium. RNAcentral describes it as "partial 16S ribosomal RNA". It matches the Rfam family "Bacterial small subunit ribosomal RNA", at positions 971 to 1356 of the family's 1533-position model. The record is from RNAcentral. Lineage: Bacteria; Pseudomonadati; Pseudomonadota; Gammaproteobacteria.
UUACCUACUCUUGACAUCCAGAGAACAUUCCAGAGAUGGAUUGGUGCCUUCGGGAACUCUGAGACAGGUGCUGCAUGGCUGUCGUCAGCUCGUGUUGUGAAAUGUUGGGUUAAGUNNCGCANNGAGCGCAACNCUUAUCCUUUGUUGCCAGCGAUUAGGUCGGGAACUCAAAGGAGACUGCCGGUGAUAAACCGGAGGAAGGUGGGGAUGANGUCAAGUCAUCAUGGCCCUUACGAGUAGGGCUACACACGUGCUACAAUGGCGUAUACAGAGGGAAGCGAGAGUGCGAGCUGGAGCGAAUCUCACAAAGUACGNNUAAGUCCGGAUUGGAGUCUGCAACUCGACUCCAUGAAGUCGGAAUCGCUAGUAAUCGCAAAUCAGAAUG